CCUACGGAAGGCAGCAGUGGGGAAUAUUGGACAAUGGGGGCAACCCUGAUCCAGCCAUGCCGCGUGUGUGAAGAAGGCCCUCGGGUUGUAAAGCACUUUCAGUGAGGAAGAACGCCUGGUGGUUAAUACCCAUCAGGAAAGACAUCACUCACAGAAGAAGCUCCGGCUAACUCCGUGCCAGCAGCCGCGGUAAUACGGAGGGUGCGAGCGUUAAUCGGAAUUACUGGGCGUAAAGCGCGCGUAGGUGGCUUGAUAAGCCGGUUGUGAAAGCCCCGGGCUCAACCUGGGAACGGCAUCCGGAACUGUCAAGCUAGAGUGCAGGAGAGGAAGGUAGAAUUCCCGGUGUAGCGGUGAAAUGCGUAGAGAUCGGGAGGAAUACCAGUGGCGAAGGCGGCCUUCUGGACUGACACUGACACUGAGGUGCGAAAGCGUGGGUAGCAAACAGGAUUAGAUACCCUGGUAGUC
Molecule: ribosomal RNA, 465 nt
Filed under: Vreelandella stevensii
Lineage: Bacteria; Pseudomonadati; Pseudomonadota; Gammaproteobacteria; Oceanospirillales; Halomonadaceae
Description: partial 16S ribosomal RNA
Rfam family: Bacterial small subunit ribosomal RNA
Source: RNAcentral